Molecule: non-coding RNA, 1310 nt
Organism: Plectropomus leopardus (leopard coralgrouper)
Lineage: Eukaryota; Metazoa; Chordata; Actinopteri; Perciformes; Serranidae
Source: RefSeq, a predicted model, not a curated record
UCACACAAAUCAUAAGACGUUAUCCUGUUACUCCCGAGAUACAAAAUGUACCAAAAAGCCAAAUCAACCAAUUAAAACCUGGCUUCAAUUCACCCUCAGUUAUUCAAAGACGAAGUGAUGUGGCAUACAACCGCCCUGGACACAAAGCUUUUCCUGACGGCAAGAAGAUUCACCAAGCAAACUCUGAUUCUGUAUUCUCCACAGGUGCAGUUCAGGUUCCAUCACAAAUCUAUAAUACCAGAAUGAGGUCGACAGGAAGUUUUUCACCUGUUCAGGUUGACAAAGUCCCAUUUAGCCUUAGACACAACAACAAAGGGGCGCCAUUCUACUCCCACGGCAAUAAACAAAGUCUAAAUAUUCAAGCUGUCAAGUCUCAGAAGAUGCACGUAAACCCCAUCGAACAAAAUAUAUAUCCACAGGAGUCACGUCUCACAACCAGACCCAAAAGUUUCAAUCAGGGCAGAACAAACUUUUUACAAACAGUUUUAAAACCCAAAGACAAGCAGACUGACUCAGUCGUGGAGGGACAAUCUCCUGACAGAAAUUCAGCAGGAAAAAGUGACACAAAGACUUCUUUUCCAGCAUGGAGUCCCAGGGCCUAUAGCAGCGCGAUAUGACGUCUGAAGCCAGAGGAUACACUCACGUCCGUCGCCUCAAGCCUGCCUUUGACAAAAAAACGCCCCAAGCUAGUUCUAGAAAGAUAUGGGAAACAGGUUUUUCACAUGUAAUACACAAUUCAGGCGGUUACAACCAUGAUUCAACAAAACCAGGGUUUGAUCAUCCAGCAUCAAGUGAAAGGCAGCAAAAUUAUAAUUUCGGAGGAAGCAGACCCAGCUGGCGUCCUGCCCCACCAGACCGAGCACCAAGUCCUGUCCAAGGCAAAUUCAAACCUUUCCAAACACAUCCUACAAAUGAUGCUACUCACACAUCAGACAGUGAACUCAUUCCCCGUCAGACAACCCUUCCUCCUAGUUUGAACUCUACUUCAUCAAUCGUUCCUUCAGUCACCGCAGAAUGGAGCACAAAGUCUGCUUCACCCACACCGACAGCGGGCCGAGAUGCAGAGCUUACACCUCAAGCAUCAAACCACGAAGGCCACAUUGAGAGUUCAACAGAAAUUGGAUCUUCCUAGAUUCCUUCCAAGAUUUCUAAAUAUCAUGAAUCCAUCAACCUGGAGUUUAAACUGACCUACCACAUGAUGCUUUCACAAACAUGGGUGGCAACAACAGCAAGAGGAUUUUAAACCAACCAGGAGAUUGGCCGCUUGACCAGAAAGAGUAUGAACCUGAAUAAAAACAUUUAAAACUUUG